This 465-nucleotide ribosomal RNA is filed under the name uncultured bacterium. RNAcentral describes it as "partial 16S ribosomal RNA". It matches the Rfam family "Bacterial small subunit ribosomal RNA", at positions 28 to 507 of the family's 1533-position model. The record is from RNAcentral.
GACGAACGCUGGCGGCGUGCUUAACACAUGCAAGUCGUACGGUAAGGCCCUUUCGGGGGUACACGAGUGGCGAACGGGUGAGUAACACGUGAGUAACCUGCCCACAACUUUGGGAUAACGCUAGGAAACUGGUGCUAAUACUGGAUAUGUUCUCCUGCUGCAUGGUGGGGGUUGGAAAGCUCCGGCGGUUGUGGAUGGACUCGCGGCCUAUCAGCUUGUUGGUGGGGUAGUGGCCUACCAAGGCGGCGACGGGUAGCCGGCCUGAGAGGGUGACCGGCCACAGUGGGACUGAGAUACGGCCCAGACUCCUACGGGAGGCAGCAGGGGGGAAUAUUGCACAAUGGGCGCAAGCCUGAUGCAGCAACGCCGCGUGCGGGAUGACGGCCUUCGGGUUGUAAACCGCUUUCAGCAGGGACGAAGCUUUUUGUGACGGUACCUGCAGAAGAAGCACCGGCUAACUACGUG